Molecule: small RNA, 130 nt
Filed under: Clostridium oryzae
Lineage: Bacteria; Bacillati; Bacillota; Clostridia; Eubacteriales; Clostridiaceae
Description: c-di-AMP sequence
Rfam family: c-di-AMP riboswitch aptamer (ydaO/yuaA leader)
About the family: This family represents a conserved RNA structure found upstream of the ydaO and yuaA genes in Bacillus subtilis and related genes in other bacteria. The ydaO/yuaA element is thought to act as a genetic "off" switch for the ydaO and yuaA genes in its native state. It is believed that the element may be triggered during osmotic shock leading to activation of ydaO, a predicted amino acid transporter gene, and members of the yuaA-yubG operon which code for KtrA and KtrB K+ transporters.
Source: Rfam by way of RNAcentral
AUAUUGCUAGCGCUGAAUCAAUUGAGCGGGAGAACCAAUUUAGGGGUGAAUCUUGUCAUUAUGACAAGUAGGGUUAAUUUCUUCAAUCCGAAUCCGACAGCUAAUCUCGUAAGCGUUGAAGAGAGGUUUU